GGUCACGAGUGACAGUGGAAAGCCCCGGCUUGCUGUCCGGCAACCCUCGCUCCGCGGUGGGGUGCCCCGGGUGAUGACACGGUCGGGCGUCGUCAGGCGUCCCGGCAAGCGCGGACC
Molecule: non-coding RNA, 117 nt
Filed under: Embleya scabrispora
Lineage: Bacteria; Bacillati; Actinomycetota; Actinomycetes; Kitasatosporales; Streptomycetaceae
Description: Streptomyces scabrisporus SAM-IV sequence
Rfam family: SAM (S-adenosyl methionine) riboswitch aptamer
About the family: SAM-IV is a mRNA element that regulates gene expression via direct sensing of S-adenosylmethionine (SAM or AdoMet). SAM-IV riboswitches share conserved nucleotide positions with the previously described SAM-I riboswitches sequence analysis and molecular recognition experiments suggest that SAM-I and SAM-IV riboswitches share similar ligand binding sites, but have different scaffolds.
Source: Rfam by way of RNAcentral